This 1346-nucleotide ribosomal RNA is filed under the name uncultured bacterium. RNAcentral describes it as "bacterial SSU rRNA". It matches the Rfam family "Bacterial small subunit ribosomal RNA", at positions 28 to 1381 of the family's 1533-position model. The record is from RNAcentral.
GACGAACGCUGGCGGCGUGCUUAACACAUGCAAGUCGAACGGAAAGGCCCUGCUUUUGUGGGGUGCUCGAGUGGCGAACGGGUGAGUAACACGUGAGUAACCUGCCCUUGACUUUGGGAUAACUUCAGGAAACCGGGGCUAAUACCGGAUAGGAGCUCCUGCUGCAUGGUGGGGGUUGGAAAGUUUCGGCGGUUGGGGAUGGACUCGCGGCUUAUCAGCUUGUUGGUGGGGUAGUGGCUUACCAAGGCUUUGACGGGUAGCUGGCCUGAGAGGGUGACCGGCCACAUUGGGACUGAGAUACGGCCCAGACUCCUACGGGAGGCAGCAGUGGGGAAUAUUGCACAAUGGGCGGAAGCCUGAUGCAGCAACGCCGCGUGCGGGAUGACGGCCUUCGGGUUGUAAACCGCUUUCGCCUGUGACGAAGCGUGAGUGACGGUAAUGGGUAAAGAAGCACCGGCUAACUACGUGCCAGCAGCCGCGGUGAUACGUAGGGUGCGAGCGUUGUCCGGAUUUAUUGGGCGUAAAGGGCUCGUAGGUGGUUGAUCGCGUCGGAAGUGUAAUCUUGGGGCUUAACCCUGAGCGUGCUUUCGAUACGGGUUGACUUGAGGAAGGUAGGGGAGAAUGGAAUUCCUGGUGGAGCGGUGGAAUGCGCAGAUAUCAGGAGGAACACCAGUGGCGAAGGCGGUUCUCUGGGCCUUUCCUGACGCUGAGGAGCGAAAGCGUGGGGAGCGAACAGGCUUAGAUACCCUGGUAGUCCACGCUGUAAACGGUGGGUACUAGGUGUGGGGUCCAUUCCACGGGUUCCGUGCCGUAGCUAACGCUUUAAGUACCCCGCCUGGGAAGUACGGCCGCAAGGCUAAAACUCAAAGGAAUUGACGGGGCCCCGCACAAGCGGCGGAGCAUGCGGAUUAAUUCGAUGCAACGCGUAGAACCUUACCUGGGUUUGACAUGGAUCGGGAGCGCUCAGAGAUGGGUGUGCCUCUUUUGGGGUCGGUUCACAGGUGGUGCAUGGCUGUCGUCAGCUCGUGUCGUGAGAUGUUGGGUUAAGUCCCGCAACGAGCGCAACCCUUGUUCACUGUUGCCAGCACGUUAUGGUGGGGACUCAGUGGAGACCGCCGGGGUCAACUCGGAGGAAGGUGGGGAUGACGUCAAGUCAUCAUGCCCCUUAUGUCCAGGGCUUCACGCAUGCUACAAUGGCUGGUACAGAGAGUGGCGAGCCUGUGAGGGUGAGCGAAUCUCGGAAAGCCGGUCUCAGUUCGGAUUGGGGUCUGCAACUCGACCUCAUGAAGUCGGAGUCGCUAGUAAUCGCAGAUCAGCAACGCUGCGGUGAAUACAUUCCCGGGGCU